UGCGACUAAAGUUUAGAGGCUGUGAAUAGAAAAUGAACUAUCUCUUUUGGUGUCCUGGGUGACCAGAGCGAUGCAUGGGUUAUGGGGUAAAGAUCUGUCCACCUGCAGAGGUGCCAAGGGCAUGCCUUGCUCAGAAGGCAGAUUUUUUGGAAGCUGAGAGAAUGAGGAUGGCUUUUUGUACAAUGCAUGGUCCCUUCAGAUGGGUGGUUCUGCCUCAUGUUUUAAAUGCUGGGUAGGCUGGUUCUGCUGUUAGCACAAUGAUAGACAAACAGGGGGUGUGCCCCUGUGCUGCAUUAGGAUCUGUCUCAUCACUGCUUACUCCGCUGUAUAGACAAAGAUUCUUAAGUAAUACCCCAUGAAGGAACAAUGAAGCUCCAGGCAGACUGUCAGAAGAGCUUGAGAAGGCUGACAAAUACACAAAAUCUUUAUCAGCUUUUCCUUCCCUAGACCACUUGGGCUGGCUGGUGCAAUGAAUACAAACACCCACUUGGGCCAAAAAUCCUUCAAUGGAAGCGGAAAAGAAAAGGAGAGAGCGGUGUGUACUUUGGAAAGAAGAACAGAGAGAUGGGGAUAAAUAUAAUAAGUCAGACUUAAGGGUGUCAUUUUAAAAAAACACAUAUUUUGCUAAAGGCAGUCAUUUCUCCAUAAAUCCAAAUGCAGCAGCUGGAACAGCUCUGCAACAGAAAAGGAUGAGGUUUGGUGCUGCCUGUGACAGUCAGAAAUGUCAACUGAACUGGGCCAGAGGCGGUGGCUCAGGCCUGUAAUCCCACCACUUUGGGAGGCCAAGGCAGGUGGAUCGCGAGGUCAGGAGAUUGAGACCAUCCUGGCUAACACAGUGAAACCCCGUCUCUACUAAAAAUACAAAAACAAAACAAAACAAAACAAAACAAAAAACAAAAACUUACCCGGGCGUGGUAGCGGACACCUGUAGUUCCAGCUACUUGGGAGGCUGAGGCAGGAGAAUGGCAUGAACCCGGGAGGUGGAGCUUGCAGUGAGCUGAGAUCACACCACUCCAGCCUGGGCCACAGAGCAAAACUGUCUCAAAAAAAACAAAAAGAAAAAA
RNAcentral lists this long non-coding RNA (1064 nucleotides) under Macaca fascicularis (crab-eating macaque). Its description in RNAcentral is "lncRNA (ENSMFAG00000062713.1)". Lineage: Eukaryota; Metazoa; Chordata; Mammalia; Primates; Cercopithecidae. The record is from RNAcentral.